This 515-nucleotide ribosomal RNA is filed under the name uncultured bacterium. RNAcentral's name for it is "partial 16S ribosomal RNA". It matches the Rfam family "Bacterial small subunit ribosomal RNA", at positions 28 to 523 of the family's 1533-position model. The record is from RNAcentral.
GAUGAACGCUGGCGGCGUGCCUAAUACAUGCAAGUCGAGCGAAUGGAUUAAGAGCUUGCUCUUAUGAAGUUAGCGGCGGACGGGUGAGUAACACGUGGGUAACCUGCCCAUAAGACUGGGAUAACUCCGGGAAACCGGGGCUAAUACCGGAUAACAUUUUGAACCGCAUGGUUCGAAAUUGAAAGGCGGCUUCGGCUGUCACUUAUGGAUGGACCCGCGUCGCAUUAGCUAGUUGGUGAGGUAACGGCUCACCAAGGCAACGAUGCGUAGCCGGCCUGAGGGGGGGAUCGGCCACACUGGGACUGAGACACGGCCCAGACUACUACGGGAGGCGGCAGUAGGGAAGCUUCCGCAAUGGACGAAAGUCUGACGGAGCAACGCCGCGUGAGUGAUGAAGGCUUUCGGGUCGUAAAACUCUGUUGUUAGGGAAGAACAAGUGCUAGUUGAAUAAGCUGGCACCUUGACGGUACCUAACCAGAAAGCCACGGCUAACUACGUGCCAGCCGCCGCAGUAA